RNAcentral lists this ribosomal RNA (434 nucleotides) under uncultured bacterium. Its description in RNAcentral is "partial 16S ribosomal RNA". It matches the Rfam family "Bacterial small subunit ribosomal RNA", at positions 29 to 507 of the family's 1533-position model. The record is from RNAcentral.
AGCGAACGCUGGCGGCAGGCCUAACACAUGCAAGUCGAACGAACCUUUCGGGGUUAGUGGCGGACGGGUGAGUAACACGUGGGAACGUGCCUUUAGGUUCGGAAUAACUCAGGGAAACUUGUGCUAAUACCGAAUGUGCCCUUCGGGGGAAAGAUUUAUCGCCUUUAGAGCGGCCCGCGUCUGAUUAGCUAGUUGGUUGAGGUAAUGGCUCACCAAGGCGACGAUCAGUAGCUGGUCUGAGAGGAUGAUCAGCCACAUUGGGACUGAGACACGGCCAAAACUCCUACGGGAGGCAGCAGUGGGGAAUCUUGCGCAAUGGGCGAAAGCCUGACGCAGCCAUGCCGCGUGAAUGAUGAAGGUCUUAGGAUUGUAAAAUUCUUUCACCGGGGACGAUAAUGACGGUACCCGGAGAAGAAGCCCCGGCUAACUUCGUG